Molecule: long non-coding RNA, 661 nt
Organism: Hemicordylus capensis (graceful crag lizard)
Lineage: Eukaryota; Metazoa; Chordata; Lepidosauria; Squamata; Cordylidae
Exons: 3
Source: RefSeq, a predicted model, not a curated record
UCCAGGGCCAACCCAACCUCCUUACUCAGCAGUGGCAGACAGUUCCUUCCUGCUCCUCCUCAGUGAUCAGCUGGCAGAAGAAACCCAGGAACAGAGUGUGCUGCUCCACACCUGCUACAACUUUGCUGCCAAAAAGAGUCUAGCCCAAUAGUCUAAUCUCAGCUCUUCGGGAUUUCAGGAAGGAUCCCCCACAUCAGCCCUACAUAGAGACGCCAAGGAUUGAACCCCGGCGGGACUUUUCUAUGUAAACCACUUUCACAACUUUUGUACUGAAGUGGCAUAAGCCUUAAGCAAUCUAACAUGCAAGCAAGCCAUGUGAUGCAAGUGCAGGCAGGGGAAAUCACAGGUUUGAAUGCCCCUCCAUGGAAGAACACCCUGCUUGAAGAGAAGAAGCAUGUCAGAAAAGGAAGCGGCAGUCUAGCUUUCUCCCUGACAUUUUGUAUCAACUCUGAUGCUUGAGAUCUCCCACCUGCACACUCUGAAGUGGUACAUAUGGUGAAUGCUGCACCAUAUGACUCCUCUGCAAGUAGAGAUCCGCCUUGUUUGGGAUUGCAGAUACGGUCUUUCUGCUUCAUCCUAAGGGAGCAGAUGUGUAGCUGCACUCUUUUUCACCCCUUGGUUGCUCUGCAAGUCAAACAGUUGUCAGAGAUAAUACAUUAAA